RNAcentral lists this ribosomal RNA (429 nucleotides) under Acidobacteriota bacterium. RNAcentral describes it as "Acidobacteria bacterium partial 16S ribosomal RNA". It matches the Rfam family "Bacterial small subunit ribosomal RNA", at positions 355 to 776 of the family's 1533-position model. Lineage: Bacteria; Pseudomonadati; Acidobacteriota. The record is from RNAcentral.
UGGGGAAUUUUGGACAAUGGGGGAAACCCUGAUCAAGCCAUCCCGCGUGUGCGAUGAAGGCCUUCGGGUUGUAAAGCACUUUUGGCAGGAAAGAAACGUCAUGGGUUAAUACCCCGUGAAACUGACGGUACCUGCAGAAUAAGCACCGGCUAACUACGUGCCAGCAGCCGCGGUAAUACGUAGGGUGCAAGCGUUAAUCGGAAUUACUGGGCGUAAAGCGUGCGCAGGCGGUUCGGAAAGAAAGAUGUGAAAUCCCAGAGCUCAACUUUGGAACUGCAUUUUUAACUACCGGGCUAGAGUGUGGCAGAGGGAGGUGGAAUUCCGCGUGUAGCAGUGAAAUGCGUAGAUAUGCGGAGGAACACCGAUGGCGAAGGCAGCCUCCUGGGAUAACACUGACGCUCAUGCACGAAAGCGUGGGGAGCAAACAGG